RNAcentral lists this transfer RNA (71 nucleotides) under bacterium. RNAcentral's name for it is "tRNA-Gln". It matches the Rfam family "tRNA". Rfam says of the family: Transfer RNA (tRNA) molecules are approximately 80 nucleotides in length. Their secondary structure includes four short double-helical elements and three loops (D, anti-codon, and T loops). The record is from RNAcentral. RNAcentral also lists the same sequence under 1 other name.
UGGAAUGUCGUCCAAUGGUAGGACAAUGGACUCUGGAUCCAUUAAUCGGGGUUCGAAUCCCUGCAUUCCAG